GCGGGUAUCGUAUAAUGGCAUUACCUGAGCUUCCCAAGCUCAUGACACGGGUUCGAUUCCCGUUAUCCGCUCCA
Molecule: transfer RNA, 74 nt
Filed under: Vibrio parahaemolyticus
Lineage: Bacteria; Pseudomonadati; Pseudomonadota; Gammaproteobacteria; Vibrionales; Vibrionaceae
Also listed under: 2 other names
Description: tRNA-Gly
Rfam family: tRNA
About the family: Transfer RNA (tRNA) molecules are approximately 80 nucleotides in length. Their secondary structure includes four short double-helical elements and three loops (D, anti-codon, and T loops). Further hydrogen bonds mediate the characteristic L-shaped molecular structure. tRNAs have two regions of fundamental functional importance: the anti-codon, which is responsible for specific mRNA codon recognition, and the 3' end, to which the tRNAs corresponding amino acid is attached (by aminoacyl-tRNA synthetases). tRNAs cope with the degeneracy of the genetic code in two manners: having more than one tRNA (with a specific anti-codon) for a particular amino acid; and 'wobble' base-pairing, i.e. permitting non-standard base-pairing at the 3rd anti-codon position.
Source: RNAcentral